AGUUUGAUCCUGGCUCAGGACGAACGCUGGCGGCAUGCCUAACACAUGCAAGUCGAACGAGAAAGUCACUUCGGUGGCGAUUAAAGUGGCGCACGGGUGAGUAACGCGUAGACAAUCUGCCCUUCAGUCUGGGACAACUUUUCGAAAGGAGAGCUAAUACCGGAUAACAAUGCAUGACACAAGUUGUAUAUUUGAAAGCUUUAUGUGCUGAAGGAGGGGUCUGCGUCCCAUUAGCUAGUUGGUAGGGUAAAGGCUUACCAAGGCAACGAUGGGUAGCGGGUUUGAGAGGACGAUCCGCCACACUGGAACUGAGACACGGUCCAGACUCCUACGGGAGGCAGCAGUGGGGAAUAUUGCACAAUGGAGGCAACUCUGAUGCAGCAAUGUCGCGUGAGUGAAGAAGGCCCUUGGGUCGUAAAGCUCUUUUAUGGGGGAAGAUGAUGACGGUACCCCAAGAAUAAGCACCGGCUAACUAUGUGCCAGCAGCCGCGGUAAUACAUAGGGUGCGAGCGUUGUUCGGAAUUACUGGGCGUAAAGGGCGCGCAGGCGGAAUAGUAAGUCGGAGGUGAAAGCCCGGGGCUCAACCCCGGAGGGUCUUUCGAAACUGCUAAUCUAGAGAGGGUCAGGGGCCGGCAGAAUUCCUGGUGUAGAGGUGAAAUUCGUAGAUAUCAGGAGGAAUACCGGUGGCGAAGGCGGCCGGCUGGGGCCACUCUGACGCUGAGGCGCGAAAGCGUGGGGAGCAAACAGGAUUAGAUACCCUGGUAGUCCACGCCGUAAACGAUGAGCACUGGACGUCCGGAGGGUUCGACCCUUCUGGGUGUCUCAGCUACCGUGUUAAGUACUCCGCCUGGGGACUACGACCGCAAGGUUGAAACUCAAAGGAAUUGACGGGGACCCGCACAAGCGGUGGAUUAUGUGGUUUAAUUCGAUGCAACGCGAAGAACCUUACCUGGACUUGACAUGUUAGUGAAACUCUGGUGAAAGCCAGAGCCUCUGCGAGCUUGCUCAAGGACACUAUCACAGGUGAUGCAUGGCUGUCGUCAGCUCGUGUCGUGAGAUGUUCGGUUAAGUCCGAUAACGAGCGCAACCCCUAUCCUUAGUUGCCAGCACGUAAUGGUGGGGACUCUAGGGAAACUGCCCGGGAUAACCGGAAGGAAGGUGGGGCCGACGUCAAGUCAGUAUGUCCCUUACGUUCAGGGCUACACACGUAAUACAAUGGGAAGUACAGAGGGUAGCAAAACUGCGAAGUUGAGCCAAUCCCAAAAAACUUCCCCAAGUUCGGAUUGCAGUCUGCAACUCGACUGCAUGAAGCAGGAAUCGCUAGUAAUCGCUCAUCAGCAUGGAGCGGUGAAUACGUUCCCGGGUCUUGUACACACCGCCCGUCACGCCAUGGAAGCCGGUAGCACCCAACGUCGGUGUCCUAACCUUCGGGAAGGAGCCGCUUAAGGUGAGAUUGGUAACUGGGGCGAAGUCGUAACAAGGUAGC
This 1486-nucleotide ribosomal RNA is filed under the name uncultured bacterium. Its description in RNAcentral is "bacterial SSU rRNA". It matches the Rfam family "Bacterial small subunit ribosomal RNA". The record is from RNAcentral.